GUAUUAACUUGUUGGUGGGGUAACGGCCUACCAAGGUGAUGAUACGUAGCCGAACUGAGAGGUUGAUCGGCCACAUUGGGACUGAGACACGGCCAAACUCCUACGGGAGGCAGCAGUAGGGAAUCUUCCACAAUGGACGAAAGUCUGAUGGAGCAACGCCGCGUGAAUGAAGAAGGCCUUCGGGUCGUAAAAUUCUGUUGUCAGAGAAGAACGUGCGUGAGAGUAACUGUUCACGUAUUGACGGUAUCUGACCAGAAAGCCACGGCUAACUACGUGCCAGCAGCCGCGGUAAUACGUAGGUGGCGAGCGUUGUCCGGAUUUAUUGGGCGUAAAGGGAACGCAGGCGGUCUUUUAAGUCUGAUGUGAAAGCCUUCGGCUUAACCGAAGUAGUGCAUUGGAAACUGGAAGACUUGAGUGCAGAAGAGGAGAGUGGAACUCCAUGUGUAGCGGUGAAAUGCGUAGAUAUAUGGAAGAACACCAGUGGCGAAAGCGGCUCUCUGGUCUGUAACUGACGCUGAGGUUCGAAAGCGUGGGUAGCAAACAGGAUUAGAUACCCUGGUAGUCCACGCCGUAAACGAUGAGUGCUAAGUGUUGGAGGGUUUCCGCCCUUCAGUGCUGCAGCUAACGCAUUAAGCACUCCGCCUGGGGAGUACGGUCGCAAGACUGAAACUCAAAGGAAUUGACGGGGGCCCGCACAAGCGGUGGAGCAUGUGGUUUAAUUCGAAGCAACGCGAAGAACCUUACCAGGUCUUGACAUCUUCUGACAAUUCCAGAGAUGGAACGUUCCCUUCGGGGACAGAAUGACAGGUGGUGCAUGGUUGUCGUCAGCUCGUGUCGUGAGAUGUUGGGUUAAGUCCCGCAACGAGCGCAACCCUUAUUGUCAGUUGCCAUCAUUAAGUUGGGCACUCUGGCGAGACUGCCGGUGACAAACCGGAGGAAGGUGGGGAUGACGUCAAAUCAUCAUGCCCCUUAUGACCUGGGCUACACACGUGCUACAAUGGACGGUACAACGAGUCGCUAACUCGCGAGGGCAAGCUAAUCUCUUAAAGCCGUUCUCAGUUCGGAUUGCAGGCUGCAACUCGCCUGCAUGAAGUCGGAAUCGCUAGUAAUCGCGAAUCAGCAUGUCGCGGUGAAUACGUUCCCGGGCCUUGUACACACCGCCCGUCACACCAUGAGAGUUUGUAACACCCAAAGUCGGUGGGGUAACCUUUUGGAGCCAGCCGCCUAAGGUGGGACAGAUGACUGGGGUGAAGUCGUAACAAGGUA
RNAcentral lists this ribosomal RNA (1266 nucleotides) under metagenome. RNAcentral's name for it is "bacterial SSU rRNA". It matches the Rfam family "Bacterial small subunit ribosomal RNA", at positions 238 to 1498 of the family's 1533-position model. The record is from RNAcentral.